RNAcentral lists this ribosomal RNA (429 nucleotides) under Bacteroidota bacterium. RNAcentral's name for it is "Bacteroidetes bacterium partial 16S ribosomal RNA". It matches the Rfam family "Bacterial small subunit ribosomal RNA", at positions 355 to 776 of the family's 1533-position model. The record is from RNAcentral. Lineage: Bacteria; Pseudomonadati; Bacteroidota.
UAGGGAAUCUUCCGCAAUGGACGCAAGUCUGACGGAGCAACGCCGCGUGAGUGAAGAAGGAUUUCGGUUCGUAAAACUCUGUUGUUAGAGAAGAACAGCGCAUAGAGUAACUGUUAUGCGUGUGACGGUAUCUAACCAGAAAGCCACGGCUAACUACGUGCCAGCAGCCGCGGUAAUACGUAGGUGGCAAGCGUUGUCCGGAUUUAUUGGGCGUAAAGCGAGCGCAGGCGGUCAAUUAAGUCUGAUGUGAAAGCCCCCGGCUCAACCGGGGAGGGUCAUUGGAAACUGGUUGACUUGAGUGCAGAAGAGGAGAGUGGAAUUCCAUGUGUAACGGUGAAAUGCGUAGAUAUAUGGAGGAACACCAGUGGCGAAGGCGACUCUCUGGUCUGUAACUGACGCUGAGGCUAGAAAGCGUGGGUAGCAAACAGG